AUUGAACGCUGGCGGCAGGCUUAACACAUGCAAGUCGAACGAGUGGCGGACGGGGGAGUAAUGCUUGGGAAACUAGCUUAUGGAGGGGGAUAACUACGGGAAACUGUAGCUAAUACCGCGUACCAUAGGAUGAGCCCAAGUGGGAUUAGGUAGUUGGUGAGGUAAAGGCUCACCAAGCCGACGAUCUUGAGCUGGUCUGAGAGGAUGACCAGCGACACUGGGACUGAGACAAGGCCCAGGCUCCGACGGUAGGUGGCAGAGGGGAAUAUUGCGGAAUGGGGGCAACCUGACGCAGCCAUGCCGCGUGAAUGAAGAAGGCCUUCGGGGUGUAAAGUUCUUUCGGUAGCGAGGCGUUAACUACAGAAGAAGCACCGGCUAACUCCGUGGCAGCAGCCGCGGUAAUUC
RNAcentral lists this ribosomal RNA (405 nucleotides) under uncultured bacterium. Its description in RNAcentral is "partial 16S ribosomal RNA". It matches the Rfam family "Bacterial small subunit ribosomal RNA", at positions 29 to 526 of the family's 1533-position model. The record is from RNAcentral.